GCCGAGUUAGCCAACUCGGUUAAGGCGCCGCAAUUGCAAUGUAGCAGUGACUCCUACGGCGCGGGUUCGAUCCCCGGUCGGCA
Gymnothorax javanicus (giant moray) is the source of this 83-nucleotide non-coding RNA. The record is from the annotation of a GenBank genome assembly. NCBI's taxonomy places the organism in Eukaryota, Metazoa, Chordata, Actinopteri, Anguilliformes, Muraenidae.